UUGGUUAAGUUAGAAAGGGCGCACGGUGGAUGCCUUGGCACUAGGAGCCGAAGAAGGACGGGACUAACACCGAUAUGCUUUGGGGAGCUGUACGUAAGCGUUGAUCCAGAGAUUUCCGAAUGGGGGAACCCACUAUCUUUAGUCGGAUAGUAUCCUUACGUGAAUACAUAGCGUAAGGAAGGCAGACCCAGGGAACUGAAACAUCUAAGUACCUGGAGGAAGAGAAAGAAAAAUCGAUUUCCUGAGUAGCGGCGAGCGAAACGGAAAGAGCCCAAACCAAGAAGCUUGCUUCUUGGGGUUGUAGGACACUCUAUACGGAGUUACAAAAGAAAGCUAUAAAUGAAGCGGUCUGGAAAGGCCCGCCAAAGACGGUAACAGCCCGGUAGUUGAAAUGGUUUUCCCUCCAGAGUGGAUCCUGAGUACGGCGGAACACGUGAAAUUCCGUCGGAAUCCGGGAGGACCAUCUCCCAAGGCUAAAUACUCCCUAGUGACCGAUAGUGAACCAGUACCGUGAGGGAAAGGUGAAAAGCACCCCGGAAGGGGAGUGAAACAGUUCCUGAAACCGUGUGCCUACAAGUAGUUAGAGCCCGUUAAUGGGUGAUAGCGUGCCUUUUGUAGAAUGAACCGGCGAGUUACGAUUUGUUGCAAGGUUAAGCGGAAAAAGCGGAGCCGUAGCGAAAGCGAGUCUGAAUAGGGCGCAUAAGUAACAGGUCGUAGACCCGAAACCAGGUGAUCUACCCAUGUCCAGGAUGAAGGUAAGGUAAUACUUACUGGAGGUCCGAACCCACGCACGUUGAAAAGUGCGGGGAUGAGGUGUGGGUAGCGGAGAAAUUCCAAUCGAACUUGGAGAUAGCUGGUUCUCUCCGAAAUAGCUUUAGGGCUAGCCUCGAGGUAAAGAGUCAUGGAGGUAGAGCACUGUUUGGACUAGGGGCCCUUCUCGGGUUACCGAAUUCAGAUAAACUCCGAAUGCCAUGUACUUAUACUCGGGAGUCAGACUGCGAGUGAUAAGAUCCGUAGUCGAAAGGGAAACAGCCCAGACCACCAGUUAAGGUCCCAAAAUAUAUGUUAAGUGGAAAAGGAUGUGGGGUUGCUUAGACAACCAGGAUGUUGGCUUAGAAGCAGCCACCAUUGAAAGAGUGCGUAAUAGCUCACUGGUCGAGUGACCCCGCGCCGAAAAUGUACCGGGGCUAAACAUAUUACCGAAACUGUGGAUGAACCUC
This 1220-nucleotide ribosomal RNA is filed under the name Listeria cossartiae subsp. cayugensis. RNAcentral's name for it is "partial 23S ribosomal RNA". It matches the Rfam family "Bacterial large subunit ribosomal RNA", at positions 1 to 1214 of the family's 2925-position model. Lineage: Bacteria; Bacillati; Bacillota; Bacilli; Caryophanales; Listeriaceae. The record is from RNAcentral.